ACGGGAAUAAUUGAACCAAGUUGUACUUAGUUGUGCACGGUUUUGAGAACAAAAUUUCUUAAACUUAAAUCGAACAGAAGAAAUCGAUAUGAAGUUAUACAAAUUUGGAGUUGUUUAUAACUUUAUCCAUAUAUGAGGAAAAGACACAGUUGGGUUUCUAUAUUGUGCGAAAGAGAAGAAGAUUCGAAAUCUAGAAAAUUCAAAAAAAAAAAAAUGUUAAUUGCUUAAGAUAAAUUCAACC
RNAcentral lists this long non-coding RNA (241 nucleotides) under Capsella rubella. RNAcentral describes it as "long non-coding RNA (CRUB_LNC000569)". Lineage: Eukaryota; Viridiplantae; Streptophyta; Magnoliopsida; Brassicales; Brassicaceae. The record is from RNAcentral.